This is a non-coding RNA of Exiguobacterium sp. AT1b, 101 nucleotides long. The record is from Rfam. NCBI's taxonomy places the organism in Bacteria, Bacillati, Bacillota, Bacilli, Caryophanales.
UAGAGUCGCAAGGGGUGUCACAUGAUGUGGCUGAGAGGCAUACGCUAACCCUUUGAACCUGUUCCGUUCACACGGACGUAGGGAUGUGGCGAAAAUGCACG